RNA transcript from Tarenaya hassleriana, 1822 nucleotides. It is a transcript of the gene named mitochondrial inner membrane protein OXA1-like, with no coding region annotated. Lineage: Eukaryota; Viridiplantae; Streptophyta; Magnoliopsida; Brassicales; Cleomaceae. The transcript is spliced from 5 exons. The record is from RefSeq and is a predicted model, not a curated record.
UCCUUCACCGAUUUUCAAACUGAGUUCCAGAAUCUCUCUCUUGAAAUUGAAGCUGUACUGGUGAUCGAGCUUUACCAGAGUCUCUCUCUCGCUCUCGCUCGAAAUCGAAAUCGAAAUCGAAGCGGUACUGGAGAUCGAGCUUUUCUUAAUCCCCUGGAAAUUCCUGCUAGAAAUGGCUUGUUUGCGUGCUGUCUCGAGGAGGACAAAUCUUUUGCCUAGACAGUUUUGGAUGCUCGAACGGCCAGUUCUUCAUGUUAACAAAGAUGAUACCAGAACUGAUUAUUUGAAUUCCAGCCCUUUGACUUGUGGACUGCAUAGUCAAGCUCGUAGGCAUGAUUGUUCGUUGGAAGAGAGGAAACACAUGUCUUUUGCCCGAACAUUGGGAUCUGGCUUCUUACUCUGUAGGCACAUGUCUUCGAAACCAGAAGAAUGUUCGAACAAGAUCGAUUGGAAUUCCACAGUUGUUGAGGAACUUGUCCCAGAAGAAUCUUUGGAAGCAGUAAUCUCUCAAGUCUCCUCUGUAAAAGAGGUGGCAAUCGCUGCUGCAGAUUCUUCUCUUCCUGUUGCUGCCAUCCAGCACUUUAUUGAUAGUGUUCAUGCAUUUACCGGCUUCAAUUGGUGUUUAUCGAUAGUUCUCUCGACUUUUCUUGUUGGAGGAUUAUAUAUCCCAGCCCAUGUAAAACGGUUGAAUGCCGGUCCAGAUUUGCUAAUACUUUUCAACAUGCAGUGAAAAUGAUCCAGGUUUGUUAUUCGUCUUCCCAUCUUUGAGCUUCCAUGAAUGUACAUCCACAUUCCAGGCCACUUCGACUCCUAGUUUGAAAGGACCAACCCAAUUCGUAUCCCCAUCUAGUGGGGUGUUGGGGAAGGAAAUAUAAUAGGCCGCUUUAUCCCUACAUUUUAUGUAGAGUGACGGAUUCAAAUCCACAUUUUAAAUAUCUUGGGUCAAUCCUUCAAAAGGAUGGAGGUUGCGACGAAGAUGUUAGUCAUAGAAUAAAAGCGGGUUGGAUGAAAUGGAGACAAGCCACGGGGGUUCUUUGUGACCGUAAGGUUCCCCUACGGUUGAAAGGAAAAUUCUACCGUACCGCCAUAAGACCCGCACUAUUGUAUGGUAGUGAAUGUUGGGCGGCGAAAGGGCAACAUAUGUCUGCAAUGAGUGUGGCCGAGAUGAGGAUGUUGAGAUGGAUUUGCGGACACACAAGAUUGGAUAAAAUUAGAAAUGAGAUUAUUAGAAAGAAAAUAGGAGUAAUAGGUAUCGAAGAGAAGAUAAGAGAAGGGCGUUUAAGAUGGUUUGGUCAUGUACAACGUAGGCCGAUUGAUGCACCGGUUAGAAAAGUGGAGAGUAUAGGUAUAGGGGUGAGAAAGAAAGGACGAGGAAGACCUAGGCUUACUUGGGAGCGGGUCAUUAAAAACGAUUUGAAAAUGUUGCAGAUUCCGAAAGAGUUAACCCGAGAUCGAAAUGAGUGGAGAAGAAGGAUUCAUGCGGCCGACCCCAAAUGAACUUGGGAAUAAGACCAUGUUGUUGUUGUUGUUGUUGACGGAUUCAAAUCCACGACCUCAAACCCCAGUGUAAAUGGUUUUACCGCUGAGCCAAAUCGGCCCUUCACUUAGUCUCCUAGUUUUGCUGAAAAGAAAUUCGAAAAGGUCCAUUGGCUGUAAAUAUUUCAAAAUGGUGAAAAACACGUGAUAUAUCUCAUGCUUUUCUAAUCAAGUGGUUAUUUGCAGACAGAUCUAGUGAAGUUUAAAAGAGAAUGGCUAUUGAUCUUUGACGACUUGAAACCUGGUCUUUCUCUACUGAUUGCAACUGCUGCGGACUGGUUCAUCU